GUUCUAGACUUACAAGUGAUUGCUAUACUUUUGAUUACUAGGAGAAGAGUUGGCUCCUGAAUAAUUUGGAUAACUGAUAAUGCAUCUCCCUCAAUUGAAAUCUGUUGAAAGCCUUGCGCUCUAGCUAAAAGGAUCGCCUUUCGACAUGCGAGGGCUUCUAAGAUUAAUGGACCAAUCUGACUCAAAAAGCAUUUGCAGAACCAACCCAACAGACGACCAACUGUGGUGGAACCACAAUUUUUGGGCUUAUAGCUUUAUUAAAAUUAAUUUUGAUGGCACCUUGAAGAGGUCUUGUCCAA
This 299-nucleotide unclassified non-coding RNA is filed under the name Hevea brasiliensis (rubber tree). Lineage: Eukaryota; Viridiplantae; Streptophyta; Magnoliopsida; Malpighiales; Euphorbiaceae. The record is from RNAcentral.